Molecule: ribosomal RNA, 253 nt
Filed under: uncultured bacterium
Lineage: Bacteria
Description: partial 16S ribosomal RNA
Rfam family: Bacterial small subunit ribosomal RNA
Source: RNAcentral
UACAGAGGUCUCAAGCGUUGUUCGGAUUCAUUGGGCGUAAAGGGUGCGUAGGUGGCGCCGUAAGUCGGGUGUGAAAUUUCGGAGCUUAACUCCGAAACUGCAUUCGAUACUGCGGUGCUUGAGGACUGGAGAGGAGACUGGAAUUCAUGGUGUAGCAGUGAAAUGCGUAGAGAUCAUGAGGAAGACCAGUGGCGAAGGCGGGUCUCUGGACGGUUCCUAACACUGAGGCACGAAGGCCAGGGGAGCAAACGGG